This 492-nucleotide small RNA is filed under the name Pongo abelii (Sumatran orangutan). RNAcentral's name for it is "retained intron". Lineage: Eukaryota; Metazoa; Chordata; Mammalia; Primates; Hominidae. The record is from RNAcentral.
AGUGGAAAAUAAAGGGGGGGACCCUCUGGAAGGUUCCAGGCUUAUGCUGUCCCUUCCCCCUGCAGGUCCUGGGCUGAAGAGAUGGGGGGCAGCCGCUGUGGGCCUGGGGCUCACCCUGUUCACCUGUGGCCCCCACACUUUGCAUUCUCUGGUCACCAUCCUCGGGACCUGGGCCCUCAUUCAGGCCCAGCCCUGCUCCUGCCACGCCCUGGCUCUGGCCUGGACUUUCUCCUAUCUCCUGUUCUUCCGAGCCCUCAGCCUCCUGGGCCUGCCCACUCCCACGCCCUUCACCAAUGCCGUCCAGCUGCUGCUGACACUGAAGCUGGUGAGCCUGGCCAGUGAAGUCCAGGACCUGCACCUGGCUCAGAGGAAGGAAAUGGCCUCAGGCUUCAGCAAGGGGCCCACCCUGGGGCUGCUGCCCGACGUGCCCUCCUUGAUGGAGACGCUCAGCUACAGCUACUGCUACGUGGGAAUCAUGACAGGCCCGUUCUU